This 427-nucleotide ribosomal RNA is filed under the name uncultured bacterium. Its description in RNAcentral is "bacterial SSU rRNA". It matches the Rfam family "Bacterial small subunit ribosomal RNA", at positions 355 to 796 of the family's 1533-position model. The record is from RNAcentral.
UGGGGAAUUUUGUGCAAUGGGCGAAAGCCUGACACAGCGACACCGCGUGAACGAAGAAGCCCUUUGGGGUGUAAAGUUCUGUCAGCAGGGACGAAAAAAAUGACGGUACCUGCAGAGGAAGCAUCGGCUAACUACGUGCCAGCAGCCGCGGUAAUACGUAGGAUGCAAGCGUUGUCCGGAUUUAUUGGGCGUAAAGAGUUCGUAGGUGGUUCGUUAAGUCUGGUGUUAAAGACUGGGGCUCAACCCCGGGAAUGCCCUGGAUACUGGCGGACUGGAGUGAAGUAGAGGCAAGCGGAAUUCCAGGUGUAGCGGUGAAAUGCGUAGAUAUCUGGAAGAACACCGGUGGCGUAAGCGGCUUGCUGGGCUUUAACUGACGCUGAGGAACGAAAGCUAGGGGAGCGAAUGGGAUUAGAUACCCGGGUAGUCC